CAGGAAGUCUCUCCUCAGGUUUCCCUUAGUUACCUGGCGCCUCAGGCUCGACCGGAAGGAGCCGGCCGCGAGUGCGGAGGGGAGAGGAUUCCUCUCCGGAAGACCUGAUUCAUCCGCCGCCCUACCAGGCUCCCUCUCCCCCUUCCACCCCUCCAUUGGAAGCACCAGGGGCUGCGGGAAGGGCAUCACCCCUCCCUGACGAAGGAAUUCCUGUGCGUGGGCCAGCAGCAGGGACACGUGGGCGGCCCCACCCUCAAAUACGUGGCUGGCCGACUCCACCACUCUUCCCCUUCGUGCCAUGGGGCCUCCCGACGAGUCUGGAGAACAACCAGUGUUAUAUUGGCCGUUCUCCACCAGUGAUUUAUAUAAUUGGAGAACUCAAAAUGCAAAGUUCUCCGAUAACCCAAAAGAUUUAAUUGGGCUUUUAGAUACUGUUCUCUUUACCCACCAGCCUACUUGGGAUGACUGUCAGCAGCUCUUGGCAGGUUCUCUUCACCACCGAACAGAGAGAACGAAUACAGGUGGAAGCUCGGAAGUCUGUCCUGGGAGAGGACAGACAGCCGACUCAAAACCCAGAUCUCAUAAACGCUGCCUUCCCCUUAUCCCUCCCUACCUGGGACUACAACUCAGCUGAAGGUAAGGAGAGACUCCGGGUCUACCGCCAGACUCUAAUGGCAGGUCUCAAGGCUGCAGCGCGCAAGCCUACUAAUCUGGCCAAGGUAUAUGAUGUAAGACAAGGUAAGGAUGAGAGUCCAGCAGCCUUCUUAGAAUCACAGAGGCUUUUAGGCAGUACACCCCUAUGAACCCAGAAGCCCCAGAAACAAAAGCCACAAUUAUCAUGGCUUUUGUUAAUCAGGCCGCUCCAGACAUCAAAAAGGAAAUUACAAAGAGUGGAGAGGCUAGGAGAGAAGAGCCUGCAGGACUUAAUAAUAGUAGCAGAAAGAGUUUACAAUAAUAGAGAAAGCCCGGAGGAGCAACAGACUAAACUAAGCGACCGGCAGACCCGAAAUCUGGCUAAGAUCCUGCUGGCUACAACCAUGGAUGACCCACAGGAAAAACGGAGGCACCUCAAGAAGCUGACUUCAGGAACAGGUAAGGAGGAUGGCCCUGGUCCCCGACGGGAGCGCCCUAAACUAAACAAAACCAAUGUGCUUAUUGCAAGGAAGAGGGCCACUGGGUGAAAGACUGCCCUAACAAAAGAUCUAAGGCCCCUGCCAAGAUAUUGGAGAUGGAGGACCUGGACGACUAGGGGAGUCGGGAUUCGGUACCCCUCCCCGAGCCUAGGGUAACUCUCAGAGUGGAGGGGCAACCAGUUGAAUUUCUAGUGGACACUGGGGCACAACAUUCGGUCUUACUACAACCCCAGGGGAAAUUGGCAAGCAAGACCUCAUGGGUGCAAGGGCCACGGGGACCAAACAGUACUCAUGGACUACCCGAAGAACUGUGGACCUAGGCAUGGGCCGGUAUCCCACUCCUUCAUGGUCAUCCCUGAAUGUCCCUACCCGUUGUUAGGUCGGGACUUGUUCACCAAGAUGGGGGCACAAAUUUGCUUCCACCCCAGAGGGGCAAAAAUCCUAGACAAAGAAGGGCAACCGAUUCAGGUGCUUGUCCUGAGUUUGGAAGAUGAAUAUCGUCUCCACCAGAUGCCCCCAGUCCAAUUAACUGACAUUGACUAUUGGCUACAGGAAUUUCCUCAGGCAUGGGCAGAAACUGGGGGAAUUGGGCUGGCCCGACACCAACCGGCUAUAUACAUAGAACUAAAACCGGGGGCAGACCGUGUCAGGGUCUGCCAAUACCCCAUGCCUCUCGUGGCGCGAACGGGAAUCACGCCCCACAUACGGCGACUACUAGACUCAGGCAUAUUAAGGCUCUGCCAAUCGGUAUGGAACACUCCCUUGCUGCCGGUGCAAAAACCGCACUCUAACAAUUACAGGCCAGUCCAGGACUUAAGGGAAGUCAACCGGCGAGUAAUUGGAUGUGCACCCCACGGUCCCAAACCCAUACACCCUCCUCUCCACCUUGCCUCCAGACAAAAAUUGGUAUACGGUAUUAGAUUUAAAAGAUGCCUUUUUCAGCCUGCCUUUAGCACUCAAGAGCCAAGACCUUUUUGCUUUUGAAUGGAUGGACCCCGAGAAAGGCAUCAGUGGCCAACUCACCUGGACUCGACUACCACAAGGAUUCAAAAACUCACCAACCAUCUUCGAUGAGGCCUUACAUGAAGACUUGGGUGAGUUCCGUUCUGAGCACCCUCAUUUGACCUUAUUGCAAUAUGUAGAUGAUAUCCUGCUGGCGGCGGAGGACCAGGACACUUGCCUGCGAGGCACCAAGGACUUACUCCAGACUAUAGCAGCUCUAGGAUACCAGGCCUCAGCCAAAAAGGCCCAAAUCUGCAGAGCAGAGGUGAGCUACCUGGGGUACAAAUUAAAGGAUGGACAAAGAUGGUUGAUGGAUGUGCGGAAGGAAACCGUCCUAAGGAUCCCACAGCUGCAAACCGUCCGUCAGGUACGUGAAUUCCUGGGGUCGGCAGGGUUCUGUCGACUAUGGAUUCUGGGUUUUGCCGAGAUGGCCAGAUCCCUCUAUGACGCUACCAGGCACCAACAAAAUUUUGAAUGGACAGAGGCCAUGAAUAAGGCCUUUAAUGACCUUAAACAGGCCUUGCUGUCUGCCUCGGCUCUCGGGUUGCCUGACCUAACCAAGCCCUUCUACCUGUAUGUAGUAGACAAGAAAGGGUGGCAAAAGGGGUCCAGGGACAUAGGUCCCUGGAAAAGACCCAUAGCUUAUCUCUCUAAAAAGCUGGACACGGUGGCCGCUGGAUGGCCCCCAUGCUUAAAAAUUAUUGCCGCAGUGGCCACUUGGUCAAAGACACAGAGAAGAUAGCCAUGGGGCAAGAACUAUAUGCUACCAGCCCACAUGCUAUUGAAGGGGUACUCAAACAGCCCCCAGACUGCUGGAUCAGCAAUGCUCGUCUGACCCAUUAUCAGAGCCUACUGCUAAACCCCACCAGAAUUUUAUUCAAGCCACCUACAACCCUGAAUCUGGCAACACUACUCCCUAACUCAGACUGGGACCCCCCUCUGCAUAACUGUCAAGAGAUUUUGGCACAGGUGCACGGAAUCAGGGCUGAUCUCCGGGACCAGCCACUGCCGAACGCGGACGCCACCUGGUAUAUGGACGGCAGCAGUUUUGUCCGAGAAGGAAUUAGAUACGCAGGGGCAGCCGUAACCACAGAGAUGGAGAUCAUCUGGGCAGAGCCAUUGGCAGCCGGAACAUCGGCUCAACGGGCAGAACUGAUCGCCCUGGCCGAGGCACUAACUAUGGGAGAAGGUAAACGAAUAAACAUUUACACCGACAGCAGGUAUGCCUUUGCCACCACUCAUAUCCACGGAGCCCUUUAUAGAGAGAGAGGGCUUCUGACAGCAGAGGCAAAGACUAUUAAAAACGAAACAGAGAUUCUUGAACUCCUAAGGGCCCUCUGGCUGCCCAAAAAGCAGAUAACACCAGUAGCCAGGACACCAAAAAGCAGAUAACACCAGUAGCCAGGGGAAACCGGCUAGCCGACUCAAAAGCAAAGGAGGCGGCCCUUUCGGUGACCCAGGUUUUAACAACCACGCUACCCGAUCCAGGGGCACUGACCCUGCCGGACACCCCCAACUAUACUGGCACUGACUUAAAAUGGAUUAAACGCUUGCCUAUGACCCAAUGCUUUCAUGGCUGGUGGAGGGCCGCAGACUCCAGCAUCAUCCUGCCAGAGGAACUAGGACGACAAGUCCUAUCCAAAAUGCAUCGGAGUACUCCUAUGGGAACAAGAAAGAUGGAAGACCUCAUACGACAUGCUAAGAUCAUUAUUAAAGACUCUCGAGCAAAGAUCAAGCAGAUUGUGGCAAGCUGUCAUGCAUGCCAGCUAACCAACGCCACCACCCAUGGGCCUAACCCCAGAACCCAACUCAGGGGAGACCGCCCAGGAAUAUACUGGGAAGUAGAUUUCACUGAGGUAAGGCCUGGAAAGUAUGGGUACAAGUACUUGCUAGUUUUCGUAGAUACCUUUUCAGGGUGGACAGAGGCAUUCCCCACCAAGCACGAAACAGCGCAAAUCGUGACCAAAAAGCUGCUGGAGGACAUUCUGCCAAGGUAUGGAUUUCCUGCCAGGAUCGGAUCCGACAAUGGACCGGGGUUCAUUUCUAAGGUAACACAGGGAGUAGCACAAAUACUGGGGGCAGCUUGGAAAUUACAUUGUGCUCACAGACCCCAGAGCUCAGGUCAGGUAGAGAGGAUGAAUAGGACAUUAAAAGAGACCUUAACUAAAUUAGCCUUGGAGACUGGCGGGGACUGGGUCACUCUCCUCCCCUUUGCCCUAUAUAGGGUGAGAAACUCACCAUAUAAGAUGGGACUGACUCCCUACGAAAUCAUGUUUGGUAUACCCCACCUAUCAUUCCUGUCUUGAAACCCAAAGUGCUUGCUGAGUUCAAUGACCAACAACUUCUUUUCUCCCUCCAAAUGUUACAAAGAGCCCAUGAGCGGGUGUGGCCUAAGCUGAGGGCCCUCUACGAGACCGGGCCGCCUCCUGACCCCCAUCAGUAUCGACCAGGCGAUUGGGUGUGCGUGCGGAGGCACCAACAGCAGACGCUCCAACCUUGCUGGAAAGGACCCUACAUUGUGAUCCUGACCACGCCCACUGCUCUCAAGGUCAACGGAAUAACUCCCUGGGUCCACUACACCCACAUCCGGCCAGCUGAUCCACACGCCGUCCUCAAGGACUUUGUUCCGGAAUGGAAGAGUCAGCCCUACAAGGACAAUCCCUUAAAGCUAAGGCUGCGUCGCUCCCACUUACCCUGCUAAUAUUACUUGCGCUGUAUCCCCUCACGGCUAAACCCAACCCCAAACCACUUAAUCUAACCUGGCAAAUCAUCACCCCAAGCUCUAAUCAGGUAGUAACCCAGCUGUCCGAGCUACACCCUAGAGGGACCUGGUGGCCUAAUCUGACUAUUGACUUGUGUGAACUAUUCAGUCAGGACCCCUGGCACCAAGGCAGAAUAGGAAUACCAGGAUGUGGCACCGAGAGGGCCAAGAUGGCCCUCCAAGAUACCUGUUUUUAUGUGUGUCCGGCCCCCUCUCAGUCUGACCAUAAUAAGGCCUCCAAAUGCGGUGGCUGGACAGACUACUUCUGCAAAACAUGGGGUUGCGAACAAACUGGGACAUGCAAUUGGCUGUCACAAAACCCAUCCAGCCUCAUAAAAAUCCAACUGAAUGCUACACACCCCUCAUGCUCGGAACGCCCUUACUGUAAUCCAGUCACCAUUUCCUUCACGGAGACCGGGAAACAAGAAACAAAUUGGGGGGUAGGACUUCUGUGGGGACUCCGGCUUCACCAAAGCGGGUAUGAUAACGGAGUCCUAUUCAUGAUCAGACAACUAGAGAAACCGAAAGGUCAAGGGAAACCCUUGGGAUAGGUCCCAACACUGUGCUAGUACCUCCUCAACCUCAGGCAACACCUGCAGCACACCCUCUGAAUCUUGCCCACAACACCUCCGGUGGUGGCAUCCCAGUCCUGACUCUCCUCUCCCCUCUCCUCCCCCUCAACCCUUCUCAGCACCCUCUUUGGGCCCUGAUGUCCAAGGCUUACAAAUUCCUCAACGCAACUAAGCCCAAUCUUACCCGAUCCCGCUGGCUGUGCUAUGACAUCCGCCCCCCCUUCUAUGAGGGUAUCGCAAUAAUGGGUCAAUAUAACACAACCAUGGACCCUAAUGCUUGCAGGUGGAACCCAAAGCCUGGUAGUAAAGGCCUCACCUUGCAGUCCGUGUUCGGCCAGGGACUCUGUAUAGGCACUCCUCCACACCACCACCAGGCUCUGUGCAACAUUACACAGCCUACAAAUAAUACAGGGUAUUAUCUACCGCCCCAAGACAGUUGGUGGGCUUGUUCCGAGGGUUUAACUCCCUGAGCUCACGGUCAGGUUAUAAACAGAACUGGGGGCUUCUGUGUGCUGGCUCAGCUACUCCCUAGAAUCAUCUACCAUUCAGAUGAGCAAGUACUUCAGUGGAAGGGCACAGAUACCCACGGGCAAAAUAAAAGGGAGCCCAUCUCCGCUAUCACCAUCGCCUCCCUACUGGGAAUUGGAUUGGCUGGCACAGGGAUGGGUAUUGCCUCACUAGCCACCCAGGCCUCCCACUACAGUAGCCUUAGAGCUGCCAUUGAUAUAGACCUAGAACGCAUAGAAACCUCCAUUUCCCACCUCCAAGAAUCCCUAAUGUCUUUGUCUGAACUGGUGCUCCAAAAUAGGAGGGGAUUAGACCUAGUUUUUCUACAACAAGGAGGAGUCUGUGCUGCCCUGAACGAAGAGUGCUUUUUCUACACUGACCACUCAGGGAUAGUACGAGAAUCAAUGGCUAAGGUAAGGGAAAGAUUAGCCAAGCGAAAACGAGAGUGAGAGCAGCAACAGGGAUGGUCUGAAUCAUGGUUCAAUCAUUCCCCCUGGCUGACUACCUUAUUGUCCUCCCUAGCCGGUCCCCUGAUCAUCCUUCUCCUCCUUUUGACCUUUGGGCCCUGCCUCAUUAAUAGACUAGUGGCUUUUGUCAGGGACCUAGUCAAUACAGUUCAACUCAUGGUACUCAGGCAACAAUACCAACCACUGACUCUCUCGACAGAAACCCAGAACCCAUGAUUGGGUCCUGCAUAGAAUCCUCUGGAAAAGGGGGGAAUGUGGGACCCAAGGAAUUUAACAAAAAUCCCCUACCCCUGGACAAGCAGGCAAGACUAACUCCAUUUUGUGCUACACCCACCAUGUCAUGUAUAACCCCCACAUGACCUACUUAUUGCUUAAGACACUCCCCCACCCUAGUCAAGCCGCUGAGCACACCCUUACUGGAAACUGGCUCAUAUAGGAAUGCAGAACCCCUAACCGCCAAAGAAUGUAAACUCCGCCUUUUGCCCGCCAAACUUGCGCGCCAAUUCUGACCAGAGUGAUAGUCUGGUUCAGUUACUAGAGGGUAAAUUGUAAUUCAAUUGGCCACCUGCGUGUGGACUGACAAGACUAUGCAACUUUCUGUGUGUGUUACAAUCUCAUUGGCCACUGGCCCCUAUAAAACUGCUAUGCCUUUUAACCUAGGGGUCCAAGUCCCUGCUCAGCUGUGUCAGGUAUACUUGGGCCCAAGCUCGAGCCUGCAAAUAAACCCUCGUGCGUUUGCAUCGGUA
Panthera uncia (snow leopard) is the source of this 7188-nucleotide long non-coding RNA. RefSeq lists it as uncharacterized. The record is from RefSeq and is a predicted model, not a curated record. Lineage: Eukaryota; Metazoa; Chordata; Mammalia; Carnivora; Felidae. The transcript is spliced from 2 exons.